This 450-nucleotide ribosomal RNA is filed under the name uncultured bacterium. Its description in RNAcentral is "partial 16S ribosomal RNA". It matches the Rfam family "Bacterial small subunit ribosomal RNA", at positions 354 to 796 of the family's 1533-position model. The record is from RNAcentral.
GUGGGGAAUAUUGGACAAUGGGCGAAAGCCUGAUCCAGCCAUGCCGCGUGUGUGAAGAAGGUCUUCGGAUUGUAAAGCACUUUAAGUUGGGAGGAAGGGCAGUAAGUUAAUACCUUGCUGUUUUGACGUUACCGACAGAAUAAGCACCGGCUAACUUCGUGCCAGCAGCCGCGGUAAUACGAAGGGUGCAAGCGUUAAUCGGAAUUACUGGGCGUAAAGCGCGCGUAGGUGGUUUUGUAAGUUGGAGGUGAAAUCCCCGGGCUCAACCUGGGAACUGCCUCCAAAACUGCAUGACUAGAGUACGGUAGAGGGUAGUGGAAUUUCCUGUGAAGCGGUGAAAUGCGUAGAUAUAGGAAGGAACACCAGUGGCGAAGGCGACUACCUGGACUGAUACUGACACUGAGGUGCGAAAGCGUGGGGAGCAAACAGGAUUAGAAACCCGGGUAGUCC